Homarus americanus (American lobster) is the source of this 484-nucleotide long non-coding RNA. RefSeq lists it as uncharacterized. NCBI's taxonomy places the organism in Eukaryota, Metazoa, Arthropoda, Malacostraca, Decapoda, Nephropidae. The transcript has 3 exons. The record is from RefSeq and is a predicted model, not a curated record.
GGGUACUGGGUGCUGGACCGGGGUACUGGGUGCUGGACCGGGGUGCUGGGUGCUGGACCGGGGUGCUGGGUGCUGGACCGGGGUGCUGCUGGAGGCUACUGGACCGGGCAGCAUUCAGCUCCACCUGUAGCUGUACCAGGUAAUCAAGGGCGAGGACAAGACGUUCCUCACAGGGCGCCUCGUAGUCACUGAAGAGCACCGCCACCGCCUCCUCCAUCUGCUCGUGAGGGAACACCUGGUUGGUCUCAUUACUCCGGUACAGGUAACCCCCGUAGGCCGCCACCACCACCAGCAGCGCCACCUUCAGAGGCCCGUCACCUUGACAAUGGUACCAGUGGUGGCGGCGCCAUUGGUGCUAGGAUGGACAGGUUCUCACAGUAGUUACCUGUCCAUUAUCACACGGGACUCUGCUAAUUACUCCCGCCUCCAGCACCAGCCUCCAGACAUCGUCAGAACAUGGUCAUCUCCAGCAGUAUCUACCACC